GACAGAGGUCCCAAGCGUUAGGCGGAAUCACUGGGCUUAAAGCGUGUGUAGGCGGAUUUGUAAGUACCUUGUGAAAUCCCACGGCUCAACCGUGGAACUGCUUGGUAUACUGCUUAUCUUGGGCCAUCUAGGGGCGAGCGGAACAAACGGUGGAGCGGUGAAAUGCGUAGAUAUCGGGAAGAACACCCGUGGCGAAGGCGGUUCUCUGGGACGGUACUGACGCUGAGACGCGAAAGCGUGGGGAGCGAACAGG
Molecule: ribosomal RNA, 253 nt
Filed under: uncultured bacterium
Lineage: Bacteria
Description: partial 16S ribosomal RNA
Rfam family: Bacterial small subunit ribosomal RNA
Source: RNAcentral